Molecule: long non-coding RNA, 2225 nt
Filed under: Mus musculus (house mouse)
Lineage: Eukaryota; Metazoa; Chordata; Mammalia; Rodentia; Muridae
Description: predicted gene, 31333
Source: RNAcentral
AAAUUCUGGGCUUCCCUUCUGUUUCCAGCUCCUGUCAUCUCAGUGAAAGGAGUGGGUGGAGGUGGACCAGGGACACAGCAGUGGACAUGUGGAGUGCAUCUUCUCUUCUUUGGCCUCAGUGCGACUCAUCCUGCAGCUCUGCAUACUACAGCUCCUGUUGCCAUGACUCCCCACCAUGAUGGACUGCACCCUUGAAGAUAUUAGAAGACCUUCAUCUUCUUUGGGGCAUAAAGCAACAAGUGCAACUUUGUUUCUGAUUCAUCUCCCCACAUCAGCAAGAGAACAAUCAUCAGUAUUUACUAUGUACCAGGCUCUAAUCUGGUGCCCUGUGCAGACACACAGAAUCUCUUGAAAGACCAGCGGGAUGAGCAGGCAUCAACAGAGAAUAUACCUGAGGACUGGGGGAGAAGCAGACAUCAACACACAGCAUGAUGGAGGCCUGGAGAAGACCCUCACUGGCGCACCACUGCUAGCCUUCAAAGCUGGUGGGAAGGCUCCUUGCUAGAACUUAACACCCAAAAUGUGCUCAGUGCCAGACUAGGACAGGGCUCCCCCCCCACCUUCAUUUCCUCUGUCCCCCUUUUUAAUCUUUCCUUCUUCGUUCCUCACCCUUUCCUCGUUCCUUCCUGUUACACCUUUCUCUUUCUCUCUCCUCUCAUCCUCUCUCUCCCUCCUUCUCACAUUUCUCCUUCAUCCUUUCCCUUCCCCUCCCUCCCAGCUUUUUCCUCAGCCCGCCUCUCUGUCUGUCCUUAUUUUUAGAGAGGAUAUGAGCCCCAUAGAUCACUUUGAGCUCUUUCAUGUGAGAUCUUUUUCCAGCACAGGCCCAGACCCUGCUCCUUGUUUUUGUCUGGCUAGGGUCAGAGACAAGCGAGACACUGGCAAUCCCAGGAAGGCAUAGACACUCCCUGCUCUUUGAGGGCCUCCAGACAGGAGGGUCUCCAGCCCCCCAGGUUCUCUGUGCUAACACUGAAAUCUCUGAAGUGAGGCCAUGCUUGUCUUGUCUGUCAUGUUGAUGUGGGGACAUGCUGUGAGAGCCUGAAGAUGUCUCCUUCUCUCUCCGCUCCCUGGGCUCUCACUGGCAUGGGUGCUCUUCUUAGGGUGAGGGGAGUGAGCCCAGGUGACAGGCUGUCUGGAUCAUGUCCCCAUUUCAAAGACUUCACCCUGUUUCUGGGUAGAGCCGUCUGCCUACCUGGGUCUCCUCUGGAGAUAACUCUGGUGUAUGGGAACAAUCUGGAAGAAGCACAGGGCUCCCUUGCUCCUGGGUUUUGUUAGACUUGUUCCUCUGCCAGCACAUGUUGGGGAUCCUUCAUCCUAUCCACAGUCCUCUGGGCCCCUCAACCCAGUGUGAAUAGCUUGCAGUGCUGCCCUGGGCUCAGGCUGAAGAUGGACACAUGUAUCCCCCUCCCCCUGGACCUUCGAUUUUAUUGUUAGAUAAUCAUAGAUUCUUGUGAGAGACAGAUCCCUGGGGUAGGACACUGGUGACCCUAGAUGUUGAUACUGUGAUUGCCAAGGUUCUAAUGAAGCCAGAUUUGACCACCUAGAGCCUCAGCUUCCCUAUGUGUAAUGUGGAACACCAUCAUGAAUGGACUGGAUGAGUUGGUGGAGGGAUUCCUGGGUCCUCUUCAUGAUGGGCAGAUGAAACAUCAUUGUGUCUAUCAAGCUGGUGGAGGGGGUGAGAUGGGGGCUAUAUUGGGCGCUGGACCAAGUGGUCACAGAGGCCUGGACAUAGAUGUCUCCAGGGAUUGGAGUUCCCCACCUAUCCUAUUUAGAAACAAGCUUGGCUUCCCAGGAGGCAGCUCUAGUUUGCUCCCAAAGGUUCUUUCAUGGAACCACUUGCUGUACAAUGAACUGACCUUCUGUAGAGGUGACUGUGGGUCCCAAGGCCUCAGAGCUCCAUAGAGCAUCCACAAAGCAAUGGAGUUGGCAUCACCAUCUGUCCUAGUUUGCUUUCUAUUGCUGUGGUAAACACCAUGACCAUGGAGGAAAAGAUUGAAUUUCAGCUUAAAGCUUAUGGUCCACCACAAAGGAAAGUUAGGGCAAGAACUCAAGGCAGGAACUGGAAAGCAAGAACAAAGACAGAGGCCAUGGCUGAGUAUGCUACUGCUCACUGGUUUGAUCCUCUUGGCUCUCUUAGUUGGCUUUCCUAUCCAAAACUAGGGGUAGCAUCCCAACAGUGGGCUGGGUCCUCUCAGAGUCAUCAUUAAUCAAUAAAAUAGCCUACAAAC